Molecule: long non-coding RNA, 968 nt
Filed under: Equus caballus (horse)
Lineage: Eukaryota; Metazoa; Chordata; Mammalia; Perissodactyla; Equidae
Description: lncRNA (ENSECAG00000058342.1)
Source: RNAcentral
UGGCUUCUUUGACGGAUACUUUGGACAGGGCCUCAACAGGUCAGGAGGAUGUGGACAUGUGAGGGAACAGCAUGAGGAAAGUAAGGAGAGAGGGAAGUGCAGGCCUGUCGAGGAGCAGAGAGGAGCAGGUGUGGCUGCAGGUGGAGGUGCUUAGAGGAGAGGAGGGAAUCUCACAGGACCACUGGGCCAUGAGUGGUGGCCUGAGAUUGGACUUAAUGCCAUGUAGUAUAUGUUUUCUGUUUGAUGGAGGAAUUUAAACUUUCACCUCUUAUAGUGAGAGCUCACAUCUCCUUCAAGAAAGGAAUUAUUUCUGAUACCUCAGUGAAAUAGAGAGAGGAAAACAAGGUAAAAAUUUCCCAAGGGGUUUCUACAAGAUUUCCAGCACUUCCUAAAUUAGCCCUGACCAGUAAAACCACGAGAGAAGACUUCCUGGCAGAGCCUGGCACUUCCAUUUCCAGUCCCAACCGAAAGCAGGAAGCAUUGAGACAAGUAAUAAUUCAACUCUUCAGUUGGCUUCCAAAAUUAUCCACAUUCAGGUCACCUGGCAUUCGCACCAAAGGUCAGAAAUUAUUCUGGUUUGAUCUGUUUCAAGUUAUCGACUUGUUUUUGACCAAACAAAUUGCAGACUCACUUUUAGCAGAUGGAAAUAUUUUUGCGUCUUUCUCAUCACCCCAACAUUUUCUGAGCAUGGCUCCCUGUGAUGAGUAGCUUCAUACAAUUAGCAGGAGCCCCUAUAAGCCUGAGCUUAUACACUGUUAACCUGGGAAGAAAAUCCUACGCUUUGGAUUCAGACCACCUGAAUACAAUUCCCAGAUCUGCUAGUUAUUAGCUGACCUUAAGCAAACUACUUAGAUUUGCUAAAUCUCAGUUUCCUAUUCUAUAAAACAAAGAAGCUUCACAUCCAUUAAGAGGCUACUAUAAAAAAAAAAAAAAAAAAAGAACAGAACAAGUGUUGGCAAGGAUGUGGA